RNAcentral lists this long non-coding RNA (355 nucleotides) under Gallus gallus (chicken). Lineage: Eukaryota; Metazoa; Chordata; Aves; Galliformes; Phasianidae. The record is from RNAcentral.
CGGCGGCACUGCGCCGGGACACUGCGCUGAACGGGACGCGCUCCGGGAUGGGCACCCCGAGCGGCGCCGGGGGCGCGAGGACAGCGUUGGUGCGACGCGGCUUGCAGCGAUAGACUGCUUUUGAAGUAGCAAAGCGCUUUCUAUUCAUUUCAAGGUGUCUGAGAACAACUGUCUCUAUCAUGGUGCGAAACAGGAGGGAGGCAGGCAGGCUGAGAAUCACAGAGCAGCGCUUCAAUCAUUACAUCUAUCAUCUGUUUAACUCCUUGAUUUAAAUACUAUUUAUCUGUUUUACUUCAACUGUCUGAAGAACUGAACUAAAUCACUGUCUAUAUUAAAAGAAAGACCUUCUACUCUC